Molecule: small nuclear RNA, 110 nt
Organism: Monodelphis domestica (gray short-tailed opossum)
Lineage: Eukaryota; Metazoa; Chordata; Mammalia; Didelphimorphia; Didelphidae
Source: Ensembl
GUGUUCACUUCAGCAGCACAUAAGCGUUUAAAACUGGAACAAAGCAGAAAAAAAUAGCAAGGCUCCUGCACAAAGAUGACAUGCAAAUUUGUGAAGCAUCCCAUAUUUCU